Molecule: ribosomal RNA, 906 nt
Filed under: uncultured archaeon
Lineage: Archaea
Description: bacterial SSU rRNA
Rfam family: Archaeal small subunit ribosomal RNA
Source: RNAcentral
CCCUACUGCUGUCGGGAUGAGACUAAGCCAUGCAAGUUGCGCGCUUCCUAGCUAUGUUGGAGGAGCAGCAUACGGCUCAAUAACACGUAGUUAAUCUACCUUUAGGACAGGGACACCCCCGGGAAACUGGGGCUAAUAUCUGAUAGGCGGAAAUGCCUGGAGUGGUUUUCCACUUAAAGGGCUUUAGAAACAUGCUUCUAAGGUUGCCUAAAGAUGAGACUGCGGCCGAUCAGGUAGUUGGUGGGGUAACGGCCUACCAAGCCUAUAACCGGUGCGGGCCCUGAGAGGGGGAGCCCGGAGAUGGGAACUGAGACAAGGUCCCAGGCCCUACGGGGCGCAGCAGGCGCGAAACCUCCACAAUGCACGAAAGUGUGAUGGGGUUAUCCCGAGUGCCGUCCGAUGAGGAGGGCUUUUCCCCGGUGUAAGGAGUCGGGGGAAUAAAGGGGGGGCAAGACUGGUGUCAGCCGCCGCGGUAAUACCAGCCCCCUGAGUGGUAGGGACGAUUAUUUGGCCUAAAGCGUUCGUAGCCGGCUUAGCAGGUCCCGCGUGAAAUCCGGCGACUUAAUCGUCGGGCGUGCGGGGGAUACUACUAGGCUAGAGGACGGGAGAGGUCGACGGUAUUCCUGGGGUAGGGGUGAAAUCCGAUAAUCCCAGGAGGACCACCAGUGGCGAAGGCGGUCGACUAGAACGUGCCUGACGGUGAUGGACGAAAGCUGGGGGAGCGAACCGGAUUAGAUACCCGGGUAGUCCCAGCCGUAAACGAUGCGGGCUAGGUGUUGGGGUAGCCACGAGCUGCUCCAGUGCCGCAGAGUAGUUAUUAAGCCCGCCGCCUGGGAAGUACGGUCGCAAGGCUGAAACUUAAAGGAAUUGGCGGGGGAGCACCACAAGGGGUGAAGCCUGCGGUUU